Molecule: long non-coding RNA, 212 nt
Organism: Bufo bufo (common toad)
Lineage: Eukaryota; Metazoa; Chordata; Amphibia; Anura; Bufonidae
Exons: 3
Source: RefSeq, a predicted model, not a curated record
CUGCUGGCGAGGAACUGCGUUUUUCUCCUGAACCAAUGGAGUCAACACAGGAGGGUACACAUUCCAUUGAAAAUCCGCGAAGUAGACGUCAUAACGACGACGAUGACACAAACAGGCAAAGUGAAACUCCAUCACCUGUUCAAACAAGAACUUCCAGGCGUGGUGGUCGCGGACAACGUGGUCGUGGCAGUAGUCGUGGACGUGUAGGCCGU